Molecule: long non-coding RNA, 268 nt
Organism: Haliotis rubra (blacklip abalone)
Lineage: Eukaryota; Metazoa; Mollusca; Gastropoda; Lepetellida; Haliotidae
Exons: 3
Source: RefSeq, a predicted model, not a curated record
UAGUACAUAAAGCGUCUACGUUGAAACCUUGCUACAGAACACCAGACGCUACAUAGUCGGGUACACCUCGGACAGCGACUGUGAUCAUACAAGGAGGAUAUAUCUGUGUGUUUGUUAUUCUGGGCAACUGUAGGGCAUGGAGUCCAUCAUGAGUCAGGCAGGUGAACCGUUCAGGAAUAACGCGGAGGACAGGUGUACUACACAGUCCCGUGUGAUGUCUACAGGAGAGAAGGCAAUGGAGCCAUUGGAAGCAAAGACUAUGGACCUU